GACGGGACCGCACAAGCGGUGGAUGAUGUGGAUUAAUUCGAUGCAACGCGAAAACCUUACCUACCCUUGACAUGUCUGGAAGGCCGAAGAGAUUUGGCUGUGCUCGCAAGAGAACCGGAACACAGGUGCUGCAUGGCUGUCGUCAGCUCGUGUCGUGAGAUGUUGGGUUAAGUCCCGCAACGAGCGCAACCCUUGUCAUUAGUUGCUACGAAAGGGCACUCUAAUGAGACUGCCGGUGACAAACCGGAGGAAGGUGGGGAUGACGUCAAGUCCUCAUGGCCCUUAUGGGUAGGGCUUCACACGUCAUACAAUGGUCGGGACAGAGGGUCGCCAACCCGCGAGGGGGAGCCAAUCCCAGAAACCCGAUCGUAGUCCGGAUUGCAGGCUGCAACUCGCCUGCAUGAAGUCGGAAUCGCUAGUAAUCGCGGAUCAGCAUGUCGCGGUGAAUACGUUCCCGGGUCUU
RNAcentral lists this ribosomal RNA (463 nucleotides) under uncultured Pusillimonas sp. RNAcentral describes it as "bacterial SSU rRNA". It matches the Rfam family "Bacterial small subunit ribosomal RNA", at positions 917 to 1381 of the family's 1533-position model. The record is from RNAcentral. Lineage: Bacteria; Pseudomonadati; Pseudomonadota; Betaproteobacteria; Burkholderiales; Alcaligenaceae.